This is a long non-coding RNA of Erpetoichthys calabaricus (reedfish), 337 nucleotides long. RefSeq lists it as uncharacterized. NCBI's taxonomy places the organism in Eukaryota, Metazoa, Chordata, Cladistia, Polypteriformes, Polypteridae. The record is from RefSeq and is a predicted model, not a curated record. The transcript has 2 exons.
CAGAAAGGAGCUACACAUGAAAAGAGUCUGGACUGAGAUUUGAUACCAUGCUGAGGUGGCAUCACCAGACGUCAUUCAUCAGCAGAUCUGAGUAGAUGAGAAGGAGCAAAGGUGUUCUGAGGACACAUGAAAGAAUGAAUUUCAUUGUACUUAAUACAGAUGAUAAUAAACCUGACUUGACUUGACAUCAAUACUUUGAGGAACUCCUGAGUCUCCAAUCAUUCAGUCUUUUGUGGCAGGAAAGCCUGAAUCAAUUUUUCAACAGGUUAAAACCAAACAGCUGCCACUUCCCAGGACUGGUUACAUGAUGUCUCUACUCUUUGCUGGCCAGUCAUGU